RNAcentral lists this microRNA precursor (85 nucleotides) under Gorilla gorilla gorilla (western lowland gorilla). Its description in RNAcentral is "miRNA (ENSGGOG00000028849.2)". The record is from RNAcentral. Lineage: Eukaryota; Metazoa; Chordata; Mammalia; Primates; Hominidae.
UAUUAGGGUGGUGCAAAAGUAAUUGCAGUUUUUGCUAUUCCUUUUAAUAGUGAAAACCCGCAAUUACUUUUUCACCAACCUAAUA